UUGAACAAUCAAACCAAUGUGGGCAAGUUGUAGCUGGCCUCUCGGGGCAUGUGCACGCUUGUCUGCAAUUGUUCUCCAUCCACCUGUGAACAUUUUGUAGACUUGCGAAGCUUAUGGACGAAGGGGUAACCUUUCAGAAGUAAUGAUUUGCGGUCUAUGUUUUUAUAAACACCAAUGAAAGUCAAAGAAUGUCUUGUUAUAUUCAAAUACAAAUA
RNAcentral lists this unclassified non-coding RNA (215 nucleotides) under soil metagenome. Its description in RNAcentral is "partial internal transcribed spacer 1". The record is from RNAcentral.